UCCUGGUUAGCUCAGUUAGUAGAGCGCUCCACUGGAAAUGGAGAGGUCCGUGGUUUGAUACCAGGACCAGGCA
Molecule: non-coding RNA, 73 nt
Organism: Ixodes scapularis (black-legged tick)
Lineage: Eukaryota; Metazoa; Arthropoda; Arachnida; Ixodida; Ixodidae
Source: Rfam